This 1755-nucleotide long non-coding RNA is filed under the name Rattus norvegicus (Norway rat). Its description in RNAcentral is "long non-coding RNA NONRATT000596". The record is from RNAcentral. Lineage: Eukaryota; Metazoa; Chordata; Mammalia; Rodentia; Muridae.
CCAAACUGAACCGAAACAAAAGAAAAACUACAUUUCCCAGAAGGCAGAGCGGCAAGCUGGAAAAGAAGCGCCUUCUUGGGGAACCCCGGGGGCGGGACUUCCGACGUUCUGGAUCUCAUUCUUGCUUCACAGACCAUCUUUCCAAUGGUUCACCGUUCUGGGCAGAAACAGGCUCCUGUGAAUCGAGGGGCGCGAACCAGAAGGACUUCGAGGACAGAGGACCAACUCCCACCUUCUGCGUAAGCCGUGCUCUCCUUCGCGGCUUAGCAGCGCUCCCUGACGCACGCUUCUCCCGGCCUCAGCACCAGUGGUUCCCAUGGCGACGCCUGCACCGAUGAGUGGAGGUUCCCCGCUGUCUAGCCAUCUGCUGGAGGAUCUUGGAUCCCGGAACUCUAACUCUACAGGAGUUAGUGUCCUGGGAUCUGGAAACAGCAGUUUCCUCAGGAGGCUCCUGUGGCCUUGGGCUCCGCGCCUCACCGCUCUUGGCCUUCCUCUUAUUAGGCCUUGAUUUCAUUUGAUGAUGUGGCUGUGACCUUCACUGUGGAGGAAUGGGAAGAUCUGGACCUGGCUCAGAGGACCCUGUACCAGGAAGUGAUGAUGGAGACCUUCUGCUUUCACUGAGUAAGGAUCCAUUUCUCUUCUGGUUGCAGAGUUUAAAGCCACCUUUAUUGCACCCUCUGUAGGCAACUCUCUGCUGGUUGAGGCCAUUGCACAACUCAUAGCCUUAGUUACUGUGAUAGGACAGCUGUGUGCUUGGUUUCUCAGUAUCUACAUGGUUAUUAUGUAAGAAACAUAGUCCUCAAUACUGUCAUUCAAUCACGUAUUGUUCCACAUCUCCAGAGAAGGGAAGGUAACCUGCUAAGCAUGAUGGAGAGAGAUGUCUUCACAGCAGAGCCAAUAGGAUCAGCCAGGAAAGGAGGUUCUCAAGAGACUAAUUCAGGUUGUAAUCCAGGGGAGACCAAGGCUUGAGGAUCAAAAGCUCAAGGGCAGCUUGGGCUAUGUGUAGAGUUCAAGACAUAAAGGUUAUCCCUCCCUGACCCACAAAAGGACAGCAGGGUUAUUCAGACAUGUAUGAAGGUGCUUGUCCUCAGCACUGCUGGUGUUUGGAAGCAACACAGCCUCAGUUAAGUGACUCCUUUAGCUUCUCUCACUUCCAUUAAUGACACAUAUAUCCUAAGGCCUGAGCAAAGUGGCCACUUAGUGAGAGUCCUCCACUCUUCACAGCAUUGUUGGCUAACCUCUGAAAUCACCUCACAGACCCAACUUUGAUCAGGGAGUAUGAGCUUGCUGACAUUCAUUUUUAGUGUAACGUUUUAGUAACACCUGCAUUAGUAACUGAACUAAUACCUCAAAUGAGCUUAGAACAGAAGUGGGACCAGUGCCACAGUGUCCCUCAUAAUAGACAAAUCCCAAAUAUCUUCCACCUUCCUGCAUUGCUCUGAGUGGGAAUUUAUUGAACAGCCAAGGUCUCUCUAUCCCACAAUGUUCAGGUGGUUUGGUGACUCUGCUAGCCUGUGUCCACAGUAGAGUAAACACAGUGUUGUUUUGUGUUUAAUAUUGGGAGGAAGGGUACAGGGAACAGCACUCUGGAUGUGGGAAACAGCAAAGCAGAGUCCCUGAAGAUAGGGAGCUCAAUGAAGGGAGAAUCAGGGCUCUGCCCUCAUGGUCCUGCCCAUAAGCUCAGAAUGGAAAAAUAUAAAAUAUAUGGCUCAAGUAAUAAAGGGGCACCAGGAAAUGAAAUGGAGCUGAAUCCUG